Long non-coding RNA from Drosophila serrata, 473 nucleotides. Lineage: Eukaryota; Metazoa; Arthropoda; Insecta; Diptera; Drosophilidae. The record is from RefSeq and is a predicted model, not a curated record.
GCGGUCAGUUCGUGCUUUUCGUGGGCUUUGAUACCCUGUACAAGCAAAUUGGUCUAAGAAUAUGAUUAUUUCUAUAGAAGAGGAAAAGGAUACCAUUGAGGAUGAUAAGCCAGCUGCUACUUAAAUAAAUUACACUAAAUAUUUACUAUAUAUGAAAUAAGAGAGAUUUCCAGAUAAGAAAAACUUAGAAGAUGGUUCUGAAAUUCCACAAAUAAACCUGAAAUUAAUCUAUAAGAAAUCCUGAACAAAACUCGGAACUCUUUCUUUACUAAAUGAGAGAUUAAGUGUCACGGGGUAUUCCCUGCUUCGAGGACAUGCUCUCUCUCCCCUGUUGUCCUGUCUGCUUCUGUUGGCGGUAUGCCGCCUUAUCUCUCAAAGCGCUUAUAAUUGAAAAAGUUUUUAUGCCACAAGCUCUAACCGCACAUCCACAUCCAGCAUUCAGUAUACUCUACACAGCAAACCUCUUCGUCCUU